CAAAAGAAUAGUUUGAUCCUAGCUUAGAAGGAAUACUAGCUAUAUGCUUAACAGAUGCAAGUCGAAUGUUGUUUUCGGGAAGCUGGGCAGAAGGAAAAGAAGCUCCUAUCUAAAGGUAGCUUGUCUCGCUCAGGAGGUGAGAAGAGUUGAGAACAAAGUGGAGAACGAGUGUGUAACACGUGGGAAUCUACCGAACAGUUCGGGCCAAAUCCUGAUGAAAGCUAAAAAGUGUUAUUUAAUGAGUCUGCAUAGUAUUAGGUAGUUGGUCAGGUAAGGCUGACUAAACCAAUGAUGCUUAGCUGGUCUUUUUAGAUAAUCAGCGACACUAGGACUUAGACACGACCCAGACUCCGACACAGGGCAGUAGUGGGGAAUCUUAGACAAUGGGUGAAAUCCUGAUAUAGCAAUAUUCCAUGAGUGAAGAAGGGAAAAGCCGCUUGUAAAGCUCUUUUGUCGAGUGCACGAUCAUGACAGGACUUAAAGGACUUUUGUCGAGUCCGCGUAGACCGAGGAAGAAGCCCCGACUAACUCCAUGCCAGCAACCAUGGCAAGACAGGGGGGAGGGCAAGUGUUCCUCAGAAUGACUGGACUUAAAGGGCACGUAGGUGGUGAAUCAGGUUGAAACUAAAGGCCGCCAAAAACUGGCGGAAUGCUCUCGAAACCAAUUCACUUGAAUGAGAUAGAGGAGAGUGGAAUUUCGUGUGUAAGGGUGAAAUACGGAGAUCUAUGAAGGAUUGCCAAAAGCGAAGGCAACUCUCUAGGUCCUUAGCGAUGCUGAGGUGCGAAAGCAUGGGGAGCGAACAAGAUUAGAUAUCUUGGUAGUCCAUGUCGUAAACGAUAAGUGUUCGCCCUAGGUCUACGAGGAUCAGGGGCCUAGCUAACGCAAAAAACACUCCGCCUGGGGAGUACAGUAGCAAGAACGAAACUCAAAGGAAUUUAUGGGGGCCUGCACAAGCGGUGGAGCCCAUAUGGUUUAAUUAAAUAAAAAAUGCAAAACUUUACCAACCCUUGACAUAUGAACAAGAAAACAUGUCUUUAAUGGGAUGGUACUGACUUUCAUAUAGGUGUUGCAUGGCUAUCAUCAGCUCGUGUUGUGAGAUGUUUGGUCAAGUCCUAUAAUGAGCGAAACCCUCAUUUUGUGUUGCUGAGACAUGCGCCUAAGGAGAAUGUCUUUGGAACCGAAGUGAUCCGAGGAGCCGAGUGACGUGCCAGCACCUAGCUGUGCUAUCAGUAAGAAGGUAGACGAUGCCUUUUGAAGAACUUUCUAUUUCUAAAUAGAAAGGGCCUUUCUCGCUUGUUUAGUAAAGUCAAGUUUUUAGCCUUAUCUUGCAGGUGACGACGACGUCAAGUUGACGAUAGAGAAAGACUUGGUAUUUAGGCGAGUGACAUGGUGGUGUGGUACGUAGUGGGUUUAGUACGCCCCGCCCAAACAAAAAAAAGGUGUGUGUCUCACUCACGAUGGUCUGCCAGUGAUAUACUAGAAGAAGGUGGGGAUGACGACAAGUCCGCAUGGCCCUUAUAUGCUGGGCUACACACGUGCUACAAUGGCAAUUACAAUGGGAAGGAACGUUGUAAGGCGUAGCGAAUCUGAAAAUAUUUCCUCAGUUCGGAUUGUUCUAUGCAACUCGGGAACAUGAAGUUGGAAUCGCUAGUAAUCGCGGAUCAGCAUGCCACGGUGAAUAUGUACCCGGGCCUUGUACACACUGCACGUCACACCCUAGGAAUUGGUUUUGCCCAAGGCAUCAGACCAAUGAUCGCCCAUGACUUCUAUUGGCGCAUACCACGGUGGGGUAUUCGACUGGGGUGAAGUUUUAACAAGGUAUCCAUAGGGGAAUCUGUGGCUGGAUUGGAUCUUUC
This is a non-coding RNA of Nicotiana sylvestris (wood tobacco), 1857 nucleotides long. Lineage: Eukaryota; Viridiplantae; Streptophyta; Magnoliopsida; Solanales; Solanaceae. The record is from Rfam.